UAGCGCGCGUAGGCGGUUUCUUAAGUCUGAUGUGAAAGCCCACGGCUCAACCGGGGAGGGUCAUUGGAAACUGGGAAACUUGAGUGCAGAAGAGGAAAGUGGAAUUCCAUGUGUAGCGGUGAAAUGCGCAGAGAUAUGGAGGAACACCAGUGGCGAAGGCGACUUUCUGGUCUGUAACUGACGCUGAUGUGCGA
RNAcentral lists this ribosomal RNA (194 nucleotides) under Staphylococcus saprophyticus. RNAcentral's name for it is "partial 16S ribosomal RNA". It matches the Rfam family "Bacterial small subunit ribosomal RNA", at positions 564 to 756 of the family's 1533-position model. The record is from RNAcentral. Lineage: Bacteria; Bacillati; Bacillota; Bacilli; Caryophanales; Staphylococcaceae.